This 305-nucleotide ribosomal RNA is filed under the name uncultured bacterium. RNAcentral describes it as "partial 16S ribosomal RNA". It matches the Rfam family "Bacterial small subunit ribosomal RNA", at positions 505 to 807 of the family's 1533-position model. The record is from RNAcentral.
ACAGCAGUCGCCACGGGAAUACGAAGGGGGCUAGCGUUGUUCGGAAUUACUGGGCGUAAAGGGCGCGUAGGCGGCCAUUCAAGUUAGAUGUGAAAGCCCUGGGCUCAACCUAGGAAUUGCAUUUGAUACUGUUUGGCUUGAGUUCGGGAGAGGUGAGUGGAAUUCCCAGUGUAGAGGUGAAAUUCGUAGAUAUUGGGAAGAACACCAGUGGCGAAGGCGGCUCACUGGACCGACACUGACGCUGAGGCGCGAAAGCGUGGGGAGCAAACAGGAUUAGAUACCCGAGUAGUCCCUGUCUCUUAUAC